AUGACCCACAACCUACGAAAAACACACCCAAUCAUUAAAAUUAUUAAUCAAUCAUUUAUUGACCUCCCAGCCCCCUCAAACAUCUCAGCCUGAUGAAACUUUGGGUCCCUUUUAGGAAUUUGUCUCAUUAUACAGGUAUUUACCGGACUAUUCUUAGCAAUACAUUACACAGCAGACAUCUCACUAGCAUUUUCAUCAAUCGCCCAUAUUUGCCGAGACGUUCAAUAUGGGUGGUUAAUACGAAACCUCCACGCUAACGGAGCUUCAAUAUUCUUUAUUUGUAUUUACCUACACAUUGGCCGAGGCCUAUACUACGGCUCUUAUAUAUACAAAGAGACAUGAAACAUCGGAGUUGUUCUGCUACUGUUAGUUAUAGCUACUGCAUUCGUAGGAUACGUC
RNAcentral lists this ribosomal RNA (399 nucleotides) under Carlia rubrigularis. RNAcentral's name for it is "partial cytochrome b". Lineage: Eukaryota; Metazoa; Chordata; Lepidosauria; Squamata; Scincidae. The record is from RNAcentral.